AUUGAACGCUAGCGGGAUGCUUUACACAUGCAAGUCGAACGGCAGCGCGGACUUCGGUCUGGCGGCGAGUGGCGAACGGGUGAGUAAUGUAUCGGAACGUGCCCAGUAGCGGGGGAUAACUACGCGAAAGCGUAGCUAAUACCGCAUACGCCCUACGGGGGAAAGCAGGGGAUCGUAAGACCUUGCACUAUUGGAGCGGCCGAUAUCGGAUUAGCUAGUUGGUGAGGUAACGGCUCACCAAGGCGACUAUCCGUAGCUGGUUUGAGAGGACGACCAGCCACACUGGGACUGAGACACGGCCCAGACUCCUACGGGAGGCAGCAGUGGGGAAUUUUGGACAAUGGGGGCAACCCUGAUCCAGCCAUCCCGCGUGUGCGAUGAAGGCCUUCGGGUUGUAAAGCACUUUUGGCAGGAAAGAAACGUCGCGGGCUAAUACCCCGUGGAACUGACGGUACCUGCAGAAUAAGCACCGGCUAACUACGUG
Molecule: ribosomal RNA, 484 nt
Filed under: uncultured bacterium
Lineage: Bacteria
Description: partial 16S ribosomal RNA
Rfam family: Bacterial small subunit ribosomal RNA
Source: RNAcentral